RNAcentral lists this small RNA (639 nucleotides) under Pan troglodytes (chimpanzee). RNAcentral's name for it is "retained intron". The record is from RNAcentral. Lineage: Eukaryota; Metazoa; Chordata; Mammalia; Primates; Hominidae.
UACUGUUAAUUGUGCCUUUUAUCAUGGGAAUUUUAUUACUUUAAUAAAUUUAGAUUUUUUCCAAGUUUAAGAAAGAAUCCAGUUCACACUUUUUUAUUCUCUUCUCCUUCUGUUUCCUUGAAUUUAGCUGUUGACAGUGUCUUGAAGAGGAUGACAAUAAUUGGUGUAAUUUUAUCCUUCCGAUCAUUGGCACAAGAAGCACUUAGAGAUGUCUUAUCCUACCACAUUCCUUUUCUUGUAAGUUCAAUUGAAGAUUUUAAGGAUCACAUUCCAAGGGAAACUGAUAUGAAGGUAAUAAUAUAAUUUAUAGUUGGGGUUUACAGUCUCUAAAGCGAAAUAUUUAAAUUACAUAUGCAAUAAAAUGUAAUAAAUCCUAAACUACUGUAAAGUUUCUAGUUUAGAGUGGUUAGUUAGCAUGCUUGCCUUUGUAAUUGAAUCUUUGAGAGCUCAGCACCAAAAUACUACCUAGGCAUUUUGAAAGUCAGUCUUCUUUGAUCACCUAUAGCAAUGCAAAAUUGACUAAAAAUAUAUUUUUUUUCCUUAAAUGGAUAGCUGUUUAUACAUGGUGAUAAAGAAAAUUAAGAAAGAUGAGGUGGCCAGGCACGGUGGCUCACGCCUGUAAUCCCAGCACUUUGGGAG